RNAcentral lists this long non-coding RNA (508 nucleotides) under Pan troglodytes (chimpanzee). RNAcentral describes it as "long non-coding RNA NONPTRT009751". Lineage: Eukaryota; Metazoa; Chordata; Mammalia; Primates; Hominidae. The record is from RNAcentral.
CUGCCGCCGCCAUGCAGCGGCGCGAACGGGGCGCCCAGCAGCGCGUCCGCGCCGCCGAAGCUCAUCAUGGCCUGAGCAGUGGGGGCUUAUUUGGCCUCCCCAGGAUGGACUGGAGCGUCAGUAGUGCCCGGGUUCAUCACAGGACAGAUACUCAAGACACUCUUAUCACCAUUAGGUGGACUUGGAGGAGCAAAAAACGGGCGCAGUGGCUCCUCAGCAGAGACACUCCUGAAUAUAUAGACAUGGGAACCACCUUCAGCGUCAAAAAAGGAAACAUUCUGCAUGCCCAUAUCCAGAAAAAUCCCCACUCGCUGUAACUUGCGGUCUACGAAGAGGAAAGUCAGCGGCACCGUGCUGGCAGAGAGGCGGCUUCCAUCCCUCAAACUCACAGUCCAGAAUCCACGCUCUGUGGUCAGAUGGAUCCUCCCUUUGCGGUGAACAGAUUCUCUGCAGACUCCCAGGUCCCAUUCUGCGCUUGUUCCCACAUCCACCUCCCAGUAGUGGCGGC